Molecule: long non-coding RNA, 499 nt
Filed under: Brassica napus (rape)
Lineage: Eukaryota; Viridiplantae; Streptophyta; Magnoliopsida; Brassicales; Brassicaceae
Description: long non-coding RNA (BNAP_LNC016878)
Source: RNAcentral
ACAGUCUCUCCAUUUUCGCUCCUCUAUUUUCCCUUUUCUUUUCAUUACUCUUCCAUUAUUUAGAGAAUCUCUUCCAUCUUCACACAAUUCCAUGAUUUUCACAAGAUCAAUUAUAGAGAAAUCGUUUUCUUCUCCAUUAAUCGGUGAGAAUGGAUGAGUUUGGUGUUCUCGAUAAAAGGCCCAAGGAAAAUCUGCUCCAAUUACCGCAUCCAAGUGUUCUCUCAACAAGAGAAAAUCUGUCAAAAUCUAUGUUCCACUCGACUUGGAUCUGGUUCUAAGUAAACUCGGGUUCGAUUGUCGUUAACAUGGCUUCAGGGAAAAAGGGGAUUUCGGUGGCUUAUUUAAGAAAUUGACCCAAAAUAUUGGAGAAGCGGGGCAGGGGAGGAAUUUGAGAAGAGCCAGAGCGAGGCUUCCCGUUACGGUCUGGAACGGUUGCAAUAAUGGAACGAUGAGGAUGGUGGGAUUGGCUAGGAUAUUGAGGAGACAGAAAUAUCAGUAG